CUUGGUCAUUUAGAGGAAGUAAAAGUCGUAACAAGGUUUCCGUAGGUGAACCUGCGGAAGGAUCAUUAUCGAGUUAGGGUCGUUCUGGCCCGAACUUCCAACCCCUUGUUUAUCACACCAUGUUGCUUUGGUGGGCCCGCUCGCUUUUGUGGGCCGCUGGAGGUUAUUGCCUCUGGCCCGUGCCUGCCAGCAGCCUUAUUAAAAUUCUUUUUUAACUGUGUCGUCUGAGUAACUUUUUAAAUUAUUAAAAACUUUCAACAGAGGAUCUCUUGGCUCUUGUAUCGAUGAAGAACGCAGCAAAGCGCGAAAUGUAGUGAACAUAGCAGCACAAUUGUGAAUCAUCGAAUCUUUGAACGCACAUUGCGCCUCCGGUAGCUCGGAGGCAUGCCUGUCUGAGCGUCAUUUAAAACCGUGGACCCAGGAUUGGGUCCGUAUUGGGCGUCGCCCCCCUCUCCAGAGUGGCGCGUGGCCUCAAAGACAUUGGUCUCACAUGCGGACGAGCUCCCCUGGGACAGACCGCGUGGAGACCCUAAGCAUCUGACUUGGAUCUCAGAUCAGGUAGGACUACCGCCUGAACUUAAGCAUAUCAAUAAGCGGAGGA
Molecule: ribosomal RNA, 601 nt
Filed under: uncultured Ascomycota
Lineage: Eukaryota; Fungi; Ascomycota
Description: eukaryotic LSU rRNA
Rfam family: 5.8S ribosomal RNA (bases 250-402)
Source: RNAcentral